GGAUGAUCAGCCACACUGGGACUGAGACACGGCCCAGACUCCUACGGGAGGCAGCAGUGGGGAAUAUUGGACAAUGGGCGCAAGCCUGAUCCAGCCAUGCCGCGUGAGUGAUGAAGGCCCUAGGGUUGUAAAGCUCUUUCACCGGUGAAGAUAAUGACGGUAACCGGAGAAGAAGCCCCGGCUAACUUCGUGCCAGCAGCCGCGGUAAUACGAAGGGGGCUAGCGUUGUUCGGAUUUACUGGGCGUAAAGCGCACGUAGGCGGACAUUUAAGUCAGGGGUGAAAUCCCGGGGCUCAACCCCGGAACUGCCUUUGAAACUGGGUGUCUUGAGUAUGGAAGAGGUGAGUGGAAUUCCGAGUGUAGAGGUGAAAUUCGUAGAUAUUCGGAGGAACACCAGUGGCGAAGGCGGCUCACUGGUCCAUUACUGACGCUGAGGUGCGAAAGCGUGGG
RNAcentral lists this ribosomal RNA (450 nucleotides) under Bartonella elizabethae. RNAcentral's name for it is "bacterial SSU rRNA". It matches the Rfam family "Bacterial small subunit ribosomal RNA", at positions 298 to 765 of the family's 1533-position model. Lineage: Bacteria; Pseudomonadati; Pseudomonadota; Alphaproteobacteria; Hyphomicrobiales; Bartonellaceae. The record is from RNAcentral.